UUCGAAACAGUCCUUUAAUAUUCAGCAUUAAUGUCACUGAGCACACUGGCAAAUUGGCGAAUCUGACCGGCGCACUGCCUACGUACCGAGUAUUGCACUACGAUAACGACACCAUGAUACUGGGUAAUAAAAAUCCAGGCUUAUGGGACAGAGUAUUAUGUUCACUCUGGGUGACCAGCAGAUACUAUAGAGCAAAACAACUUAAAGAACUGCCUCCCCUGGCAAUGGUAACUUUCGAGAAUAUCUGCAAAGGACCCAAAUUCAUUCCAUAUCCUGAAACCUGCGUGGAUUGAUAUAAAGAAUAAUAAUAAAAUUGUGUUUGAAAUAUU
Long non-coding RNA from Dermacentor silvarum, 329 nucleotides. RefSeq lists it as uncharacterized. The transcript is spliced from 3 exons. Lineage: Eukaryota; Metazoa; Arthropoda; Arachnida; Ixodida; Ixodidae. The record is from RefSeq and is a predicted model, not a curated record.